GGAACCUGCCUUCCAUGGGGGACAACAGUUGAAGACUGCUAAUACCGCAUAACGCAGCUAGAUCGCAUGAUCUUACUGCCAAAGCUUUAUGUGCUGGAAGAUGGCCUCGCGUCUGAUUAGCUAGUUGGUGGGGUAACGGCCCACCAAGGCGACGAUCAGUAGCCGGUCUGAGAGGAUGAACGGCCACAUUGGGACUGAGAUACGGCCCAGACUCCUACGGGAGGCAGCAGUGGGGAAUAUUGGGCAAUGGGGGAAACCCUGACCCAGCAACGCCGCGUGAAGGAAGAAGGCCUUCGGGUUGUAAACUUCUUUUACCAGGGACGAAGAACGUGACGGUACCUGGAGAAAAGCAACGGCUAACUACGUG
Molecule: ribosomal RNA, 367 nt
Filed under: uncultured bacterium
Lineage: Bacteria
Description: bacterial SSU rRNA
Rfam family: Bacterial small subunit ribosomal RNA
Source: RNAcentral